GUGAACAAGUUAGUUCUUUUCUACUUUGGAAAAAGAAAAAAGAAAAAAGAAAAAAAAACUACCAACAAAAGAAGCUCAAAUAUGACCCGAAACUAAACAAAAGACGUAGUAAAAAUUUUAACGCAUACUCUUCUGCAUCUCCACCAUCUUGCUUCUUGCUAAACAAAGCUUGUUCCUUUCCUUGUUUCGCAGAGUGAUCAAGUGCAUUCCUAUUCUCUUCUUCUGCAUCUCCACCUUCUUUCUUCUUACUAGGCAAAGCGUGUUCAUUUCCUUGCUCCCCAGGAUGAUCAGAUGCCUUCCUAUUGUCUUCUUCUGCUUCUCCGUCAUCUUGCUUCUUACUAGGCAAAGCGUGUUCCUUUCGUUGUUCUCCUGGAUGAUCAGAUGCGUUCCUAUUGUCUUCUUCUGCAUCUCCGCCAUCUUGCUUCUUACUAGGCAAAGCUUGUUCCUUUCCUUGUUCCCCAGAAUGAUCAGAUGCCUUCCUAUUGUCUUCUUCUGCAUCUCCGCCAUCUUGCUUCUUACUAGGCAAAGCGUGUUCAUUUCCUCGUUCCCCAGGAUGAUCAGAUGCAUUCCUAUUGUCUUCUUCUGCAUCUCCACCAUCUUGCUUCUUACUAGGCAAAGCGUGUUCCUUUCCUUGUUCUCCAGAAUGAUCAGAUGCAUUCCUAUUGUCGUCUUCUUUGUUGGAUUCAUCAAUAUCAGUUGUCUUUGAUGGUAAAAUAUUUGGGGAAAACUCAUCCAAUUCGGAUAAGGCCUCUUUAAAAACGAAUGAACUUUCCCUGUUAUUUUUUAUGCAACUAAAUUAUUUCACUAUUAGAAAUGUACAAUAAUGUACAAGAUUCAAGAAAUCCAAAGAACUACCUGGCCUUUUCCAAGCCUGCACUUACACCAGCCUUGAUUCUCUCAAUUUCAGCAGACACGCCAAGAACAGUAUUCAUCAGUUGCUCAAAGCAUCCUAGAAGACAAGACAUAUGGUGGUCUGCAGCCAUUGCUUCAGGAUCAGAAGGCAAGCACUGAAAGAAAUUCAGCGCUUCUCCACUGGCUACUCGAGAGCUGCUUCUUGUUAGAUUGGAAUCGCUUGAAAUCGGCAUUGAAACAGGGAGCCCUUUUUUCUCUUGACUAUCUUCUUCUGUCUUGAAUUCAUCCAUCUUCUGACUCAGCCAUUGCCUUGCUUUAUCAAUCUUGGCCCUUACUUGUUGAUCAAGAUUGUUUCUCGCAAUAAUUGAUGCUUCAAUUUCUAUCUUGAAGGACUUGGCAGCGAUGAUUUCUUUGGAGCCGCCAUCACUCUUUUCUAGUGAUUUUGCAAUGAAAUGAUCCAAUUCUGAAAAUAGCAUCGUACUUUCAAGAUCAAUUUGAGUGUUAUCUUUGUGAGCCAUUGUUCUUGCUUUGGGAGUGAGAGAGAGGGCUGAAUGAGUAUUCUAUGAGAGAGAAGCGCCAAAUUUGUGGCUUACAAAAGCGGUUAUUUCUGUUAAGAAGUUGUAGAUUAUGGACAUAUAUUCUCCUUAUGCUUGUAUGUGGAUAAACAUUUUACAUUUGAUGCAGGAAAAAUGCCUCAAUCUUGUGGACAACAGAUCAUCAAUGAAGCUGAAGAACAUAAAUAAGCAUUUUAUGUGAAGAGGCAACUCAAUUGUGAAACCAACAAAGCUCUUUACAGAGAAACAGAGAAGCUAUACUAUGAAACCAAGAAAAUUUCCAUAAAGGAGCUGGCAAUCAUCACUGAGAGCCAUUGCGGAAGCAAUUCCUCGAGAGGUACAAAAUAUUGAAAGAAGACAGGGAAGGAAAAUGCUGAAAAGGAACUGUAUAUUUGGGUCAGCGUCGAAAUCCUCGGAAACCCGCUGAUCUUUUGAGGAUCGGAAGACUUCUCUUGAAGUUAAAUCACAACAUUCCACCUCGCAUGCUGGUGAUGCUCGGUAGAAAACGUUAUAUAAAAGAAGGUGGACUGUAUAACUUAGUUACUGUUAUGUUUUUACAGUUGAAAUCGCGUUUUGUGAUUUGUAAAUUUUGUUUUUUUCUUGUCUAAUGAAGAAUGAACUCAAGUUAGUUCU
This is a long non-coding RNA of Populus nigra (black poplar), 2039 nucleotides long. RefSeq lists it as uncharacterized. The transcript is spliced from 2 exons. The record is from RefSeq and is a predicted model, not a curated record. NCBI's taxonomy places the organism in Eukaryota, Viridiplantae, Streptophyta, Magnoliopsida, Malpighiales, Salicaceae.